RNAcentral lists this ribosomal RNA (502 nucleotides) under Tsukamurella inchonensis. Its description in RNAcentral is "bacterial SSU rRNA". It matches the Rfam family "Bacterial small subunit ribosomal RNA", at positions 1 to 522 of the family's 1533-position model. The record is from RNAcentral. Lineage: Bacteria; Bacillati; Actinomycetota; Actinomycetes; Mycobacteriales; Tsukamurellaceae.
UGGAGAGUUUGAUCCUGGCUCAGGACGAACGCUGGCGGCGUGCUUAACACAUGCAAGUCGAACGGUAAGGCCCUUUCGGGGGUACACGAGUGGCGAACGGGUGAGUAACACGUGGGUGACCUGCCCUGUACGUCGGGAUAAGCCUGGGAAACUGGGUCUAAUACCGGAUAUGACCUUCUCCUGCAUGGGGGUUGGUGGAAAGCUUUUGCGGUACAGGAUGGGCCCGCGGCCUAUCAGCUUGUUGGUGGGGUAAUGGCCUACCAAGGCGACGACGGGUAGCCGGCCUGAGAGGGCGACCGGCCACACUGGGACUGAGACACGGCCCAGACUCCUACGGGAGGCAGCAGUGGGGAAUAUUGCACAAUGGGCGCAAGCCUGAUGCAGCGACGCCGCGUGAGGGAUGACGGCCUUCGGGUUGUAAACCUCUUUCAGUAGGGACGAAGCGCAAGUGACGGUACCUACAGAAGAAGCACCGGCCAACUACGUGCCAGCAGCCGCGGUA